RNAcentral lists this transfer RNA (83 nucleotides) under bacterium. RNAcentral describes it as "tRNA-Leu". It matches the Rfam family "tRNA". From Rfam's summary of the family: Transfer RNA (tRNA) molecules are approximately 80 nucleotides in length. Their secondary structure includes four short double-helical elements and three loops (D, anti-codon, and T loops). The record is from RNAcentral.
GCUCGGGUGGUGAAACGGCAGACACGCAAGCUUGAGGUGCUUGUGCCCGCAAGGGCGUGCAGGUUCAACUCCUGUCCCGAGCA